This 770-nucleotide long non-coding RNA is filed under the name Monodelphis domestica (gray short-tailed opossum). RNAcentral describes it as "lncRNA (ENSMODG00000036085.2)". The record is from RNAcentral. Lineage: Eukaryota; Metazoa; Chordata; Mammalia; Didelphimorphia; Didelphidae.
GAAGGAGGAAAGGGAGGAGGAGUUGGAGAAAGAGGAGGAGAAGAAAAAGAAUCAAGAUGAGGAGGAGGAAGAAGAGAAGAAAAGAGAGAAGAGAAGAAAGAGUGGGAAUAAUGAAGAAGGGGAGGUGGAAAGAGGGAGAACAAAUGGGGAGGAUGAAAAAAAGAAUAUGGGAUGGUGAGGGAACAGGAGAGAGAAAGGACUCUGGGAGGGAAGAAAAGGGAAGAAAAUCAAGGAGAGGAUGGGAAGGAUUCUAGGAGGAGUGGAAAGGGGAGGGAAGAAGAGAGCAGGGGGAGGAGCCUGACUAAAAGGGCCAACUCUCUUGGCUAUCUGGUCCAGUCUCCUUGUUUCUCUAUAAAAACCCUGGGACAGAAACACAACUGCAUGACAGACCUUGGCUCAUUUUUGACCUGACACGUGGCCAAGCAGACAGACAGAAAGGCAGCUGGAUAGCAGAGGAUGAGCUUGUUCCUAAAGCUGCUGGUCCUCACAGUGGCCCAGUCAGUGGUACGACAAAAAGGAAAUGAAGAUGACUGGUGCUAUGAUUCCCAAAAAAGCAUAAUUAAAUGUUUAGAUCCAUCGUUGUGGAAGUGGGGCUGCCUAGGUAGUAGUCAAUCCCCAAUUAACAUUGUCACCCAAAAUGCCAUUUACAGAAGGAGAGAUAGUUUCCGGUUCAGUGGCUAUGACAAACAGGACAAUUGGGUUAUUAAAAACAAUGGCCACACAGGUGAGUCAUUUCUCAGUGGUUUGGGGGAGGGACCAAACGGAGAGCA